This 422-nucleotide ribosomal RNA is filed under the name uncultured bacterium. Its description in RNAcentral is "bacterial SSU rRNA". It matches the Rfam family "Bacterial small subunit ribosomal RNA", at positions 355 to 774 of the family's 1533-position model. RNAcentral also lists the same sequence under 1 other name. The record is from RNAcentral.
UGAGGAAUAUUGGUCAAUGGGCGCUAGCCUGAACCAGCCAAGUAGCGUGAAGGAUGAAGGCUCUAUGGGUCGUAAACUUCUUUUAUAUAAGAAUAAAGUGCAGUAUGUAUACUGUUUUGUAUGUAUUAUAUGAAUAAGGAUCGGCUAACUCCGUGCCAGCAGCCGCGGUAAUACGGAGGAUCCGAGCGUUAUCCGGAUUUAUUGGGUUUAAAGGGAGCGUAGGUGGACUGGUAAGUCAGUUGUGAAAGUUUGCGGCUCAACCGUAAAAUUGCAGUUGAUACUGUCAGUCUUGAGUACAGUAGAGGUGGGCGGAAUUCGUGGUGUAGCGGUGAAAUGCUUAGAUAUCACGAAGAACUCCGAUUGCGAAGGCAGCUCACUGGACUGCAACUGACACUGAUGCUCGAAAGUGUGGGUAUCAAACA